UACGUAGGGGGCGAGCGUUGUCCGGAUUUAUUGGGCGUAAAGAGCUCGUAGGCGGUUUGGUAAGUCGGGUGUGAAAUCUCCACGCUCAACGUGGAGGGGCCACUCGAUACUGCCAUGACUCGAGUCCGGUAGAGGAGUGUGGAAUUCCUGGUGUAGCGGUGAAAUGCGCAGAUAUCAGGAGGAACACCAAUUGCGAAGGCAGCUCGCUGGGACGUCACUGACGCUGAGACGCGAAAGCGUGGGGAGCAAACAGG
RNAcentral lists this ribosomal RNA (254 nucleotides) under uncultured bacterium. Its description in RNAcentral is "partial 16S ribosomal RNA". It matches the Rfam family "Bacterial small subunit ribosomal RNA", at positions 524 to 776 of the family's 1533-position model. The record is from RNAcentral.